CACAAACUGCAACCAUUCGUCGCCUGUAUUAAGUGGUGCAAACCCGCGGGCACGGUGAGUCUAAGUUGUCGC
RNAcentral lists this unclassified non-coding RNA (72 nucleotides) under Weissella viridescens. The record is from RNAcentral. Lineage: Bacteria; Bacillati; Bacillota; Bacilli; Lactobacillales; Lactobacillaceae.